RNAcentral lists this ribosomal RNA (424 nucleotides) under uncultured prokaryote. RNAcentral describes it as "bacterial SSU rRNA". It matches the Rfam family "Bacterial small subunit ribosomal RNA", at positions 355 to 796 of the family's 1533-position model. The record is from RNAcentral.
CAAGGAAUUUUCCCCAAUGGGCGCAAGCCUGAGGGAGCAACGCCGCGUGCAGGACGACGGCCUUCGGGUUGUAAACUGCUUUUGCGUGGGACGAUAACGACGGUACCACGCGAAUCAGCCCCGGCUAACUCUGUGCCAGCAGCCGCGGUAAUACGGAGGGGGCUAGCGUUGUUCGGAAUUACUGGGCGUAAAGCGCGCGUAGGCGGGUGACCAAGUUGGGGGUGAAAGCCCGGGGCUCAACCUCGGAACGGCCUUCAAUACUGGUUAUCUAGAAUCCGGGAGAGGUAAGCGGAAUUCCUAGUGUAGAGGUGAAAUUCGUAGAUAUUAGGAAGAACACCAGUGGCGAAGGCGGCUUACUGGACCGGCAUUGACGCUGAGGUGCGAAAGCGUGGGGAGCGAACAGGAUUAGAUACCCGCGUAGUCC